CAGAGGGUGCAAGCGUUGUUCGGAAUUAUUGGGCGUAAAGGGAGUGUAGGCGGCUUGUUAAGUCUUCUGUGAAAGCUACGGGCUUAGCCUGUAAAGUGCAGAGGAAACUGGCGAGCUUGAGUGUCGGAGAGGGUAGCGGAAUUCCCGGUGUAGAGGUGAAAUUCGUAGAGAUCGGGAGGAACACCAGUGGCGAAGGCGGCUACCUGGCUGACAACUGACGCUGAGACUCGAAAGCAUGGGGAGCAAACAGGAUUAGAUACCCUGGUAGUCCAUGCCGUAAACGAUGAUAGCUAGAUGUGUGAGGUAUUGACCCCUUACGUGUCGAAGCCAACGCGAUAAGCUAUCCGCCUGGGGAGUACGGUCGCAAGAUUA
This 372-nucleotide ribosomal RNA is filed under the name uncultured organism. RNAcentral describes it as "bacterial SSU rRNA". It matches the Rfam family "Bacterial small subunit ribosomal RNA", at positions 526 to 896 of the family's 1533-position model. The record is from RNAcentral.